Molecule: long non-coding RNA, 988 nt
Organism: Tribolium castaneum (red flour beetle)
Lineage: Eukaryota; Metazoa; Arthropoda; Insecta; Coleoptera; Tenebrionidae
Exons: 3
Source: RefSeq, a predicted model, not a curated record
UCCCGUCCGAUCGUGCCUUCCAUAAAAUACUUCCCGAAGCUUUCUCCCCUGUAUCGCUUUGAUUGAGGCAAAAGGGCGCACUUUGCCCUUAAAAUAAUAUUAAAUUUACAGCUUCGUCGCCCUUCAAAAGUCGGAAAGUAAAUUUUGUUUCGGAUAUUUACGACGGGACGGUUACUUUCAAGAUGCCGAUGGCUUCCGGCUGUUCGACCGGAAAUUUUACGGUGCUUUUAUCAAUCUCGUGUGCGGUGUCAAAUAUGGGGGGGACCGGAAAUUACAGUGCGUUACAUGAUCAUAUAAGAGUCUAUCAAAAAUCGACGAGGAUGUAAUAAAUCCCGCAUCAAAGGAUCCGAGAGGUCAAUUAUCAAAAGGAGGAGGUAAUCAAGUGUCAAAACGAAAGAUGACCUUUUGAUGAAAUGCCAGCAGAAAAAACCGACCUAUAGAUUUAUGGAUAGAGUUUCUAUAAAAGGUAUUUUUAUUUUAAUUAACAAAAUUAUUGUUAUCAAGACUUCAUGCUAUUUCGUUUUACUUUUUCCGAGAUUCGUUUCGCUUUAAGAAACACUUAAAUAUUAAUACUUUUUAUGACGUUCCGGUAAUUAAAAUGAUAAGUAAAGUGCAACAAACUUCCAAUCAUUGUAAUGAAGGCAAUCAAAAGUGAGAUUAACAAGCAAUUACGAAGCUGGAUGUGUGGUAUAUAAAAAAUCGGAAUAGGAAAAUUGUGCAACAAAAUGAAGCGAAUAGUUUUCUUGAUGUUGCUGGCGCUAGCAAUAGCAUUAGGUGAAGAACCGGAAAAACAUGGAGCGAGAAUUGCGCGAAAAGUUUAUGACAGCUUCGAUACUCCUAAUAGACAUUUUUAUAGGGAGUGGGAAUAUCCCAGGUUAGGCGGAUACAAGGAACGUAUACCAACAGACAUGAGACCUUUGGAUUGGACAAACAUUAACGAUUUUUAAACAGCAUCCAACGACAAAUUGCCAAUAAAGAAUUUCAUUUC